CCCUGGCGCCUCUCCAAGCUGCAAAUCUUUCCCUCGAGGUGACGAGGAUGUGGGAACCUCUGACUGCUAAACUCAAAACCAUUGCAGAGGAUAUCCCAUCAAUCAUAACAAGAGCUGUGGAGAGCUCCACCAGGCGGCUACAGGAUGACAUCUACAACCUCAAGACCGAGAACAGCACAAUGAAGGUCGAGGUGGAGAAGGU
This 202-nucleotide long non-coding RNA is filed under the name Phaseolus vulgaris (common bean). RNAcentral describes it as "long non-coding RNA (PVUL_LNC000685)". Lineage: Eukaryota; Viridiplantae; Streptophyta; Magnoliopsida; Fabales; Fabaceae. The record is from RNAcentral.